Long non-coding RNA from Magnolia sinica, 2389 nucleotides. RefSeq lists it as uncharacterized. The record is from RefSeq and is a predicted model, not a curated record. The transcript is spliced from 7 exons. NCBI's taxonomy places the organism in Eukaryota, Viridiplantae, Streptophyta, Magnoliopsida, Magnoliales, Magnoliaceae.
GCACCAACAGAUAUUUAUUUAUUUGUUUAUAUUCUUAGGUGGGAAGCGCCUUGUUCCUGUGGGUCUAGGGGAUGAUGAUCAAUGCAUUGAGGAUGACUUUACUGCAUGGCAAGAGCUCGUAUGGCCCGAGUUGGAUCAAUUGCUUCGGGAUAAAGAUGAUGCAUCGGGUGCUUUGACCCCUUACACUGCUGCCAUACCUGAAUACCGAGUCAUAUUUUAUGACCCUGAGGAUGCAUUCAAUGAUGCAUUCAAAAGCUGCUAUAUUUGCAUUGAACCAAUGGCCAUCAACAAAAACAGGCAUUUUGUUUAAUUCAUCGACUUCCCGAAUUGAGUUCACUUGUCAUUUUGAGCUAGUUUGAUGGAAUUUCCCCACUCUGCUUAAUGUUGGUGUCUGUACUUAGCAAGCAAAAGCACAUCUGAAAAGGCAAGUCAGAGCCUUUAAAUAAUAAUGGCAUAUGCACAUCUUCACUCUUUCCAAACUGGGCCUAUAACUUUGUUCCGUAUAUGUAAUUUUAUACAAAGUGAUGGUGACAUCAAAGCAUUUAACAAGCAAUGUGCAUGAAUAUGAUGCUGUGUGAAUCAGUAAAUAAUAUUAGGGAACUGCAUGAUGCUCGAGUGCACGUGUACUAACAUAGCAAGGAGGUUGGUGCAAGAUCCAACUGGGUUCACUUUUGUCGACACAUAUCAAUUGGAUAUUGCCUUUUGUGUUCUUCUAUACAAAAUCUUAUGGUCUCUAUAUUAUUGCAUGACUGCAUAAAUAGUCCAUACAGUUGGUAUAUAUAGAAGUUAGCAUAGCUGGACAUUCUUAGUUUUCAUAGCUGUCUAUUCUUUUUUCUUGCAAGUUGAGACAAACUUGGUAAUGUAUUGGUAUGUAUUGGCUAUGGAGUCGUAUGUAUUGAUUAUUGGGGACAGAAUUGUAGAAUUUAGUCUUUUCUUGUUGGUCAGUUUGGGAAGAUUAUUUUAAAUCAGUCCAGAAAUAUCUACUAAGUUUAUUUUAAAUCAAUCAUUCUAUCCUUUCUUUUCAUGCUGAUUUUUCUGCUCAUUCUACUGCCCAAUACAAUUUUCAGAUUAAGGAUCGACGAACUUCUGACAUCUUUCAUUAAAUAUAUCUAAAAGUUGCUUUUUCUUUCCUGGGCCUGGAGGUUAGCUAGCAAGUACAAAUUAUGGAAUGGGUGUUUCAGGGGCAUUUUGAUGAUGUUCAAAGGGCACCUAGUUUGCCGUCUAAAGCACCAAAAGAACUCAAAGAGCUGAGAGAUUGUCAAUGAAGAACGAGUGAUGUUCCAAUGCAUUCUAUGUAAUUCACUGAUUGUCACGAGUUCCAAAUUUUCUGUCUCAGAAGUUGGAGGUUUUUUCACGCAGAAGCUGAGUCAAUGGAAGGUAGGCUCAUGGAUUGCAUAAUUCUCCAACCGGAUUUUGGCAGCAUUUCAGGAUUUCGACAUUAUGCUGAGGCUAUAUUUAAGCCACCAAAAGCAAUGUGAGGAGGAAUCCCCAUUUGUUUCCCACAGUUUGGAAACAGUGGAUCACUGGAGCAACAUGGGUUUGCAAGGAACAAGAUUUGGACCAUUGAUGAUGAUCCUCCACCUCUUCAUCCAGUUGAGUACAUUGGCAAAUCUGCUAUAGACUUGCUACUGAAACCAUCUGAAGAGGAUCUGAAGUGUUGGCCCCACAGUUUUGGGUUCCGUCUUAGAUUGGCUCUUGCAUUGAAUGGAGAUCUCACCAUGAUAUCGCGGAUUAGGAACCUCGACAGCAAGCCAUUUAGUUUCUCCUUUGCUUUCCACACAUAUUUCUCUGUUUCUGACAUCAGGAAUUUCAAUGGGAGCUGUUGCUGGAAUCUCUGUUGUAGCGUUUGCCAUUAUACUGUUUCUAGUUUUGUCUAUACAUUGGUGCGUCUAGAAGAAAGAAACUGAAGAAGGCAUCAUUGCGUCGACCACCUUUCGAAGAUAACUCUAUUCACCAUGAUAAGGUAAAUCUCGUGGUUAGGCAUUAAUCUCUACAUUUUCCUUUUAGUAAUGCUCUAAGGUUCCACCAAGGCCAUGGCAAUUUGAAAGUGAUUCAUGCAAGGAAAGAUUGAAUAAGGUGGUUUGUCACUCCCAAGGUAUUCAAUAACGGUGAUGGCCAGCAUAAUAGGUGGUUGUUGAAUUGUUUUAUGGGCUGUAAUGGUCGAUUUUCAUUACCUAUUUCAUCAGUAGCUGAUCUAAUUUUGACUAUUUACUAUAUAUUUAGUUCAGUUUCUUAUUAAGGCCUACUGAGCAUCCAAACACAUUAAUAUUUAGUCCAGCUUCAUACUUAGCCUAAUCUUUUGAAUCUUGUGAAUGUGAUUCUUAUUAAACAAUCGUAUGAAUUAUUUUUUGAAUGAAUAUCAGGUGUAAGAUUCCAAAAAAAAAAAAAA